RNAcentral lists this ribosomal RNA (253 nucleotides) under uncultured bacterium. RNAcentral describes it as "partial 16S ribosomal RNA". It matches the Rfam family "Bacterial small subunit ribosomal RNA", at positions 524 to 776 of the family's 1533-position model. The record is from RNAcentral.
UACGUAGGGUGCGAGCGUUAAUCGGAAUUACUGGGCGUAAAGUGUGCGCAGGCGGCGCUGCAAGUCGAGUGUGAAAGCCCCGGGCUUAACCUGGGAACUGCGCUCGAAACGGGCUGGCUAGAGAUCGGGAGAGGAGAGUGGAAUUCCCAGUGUAGAGGUGAAAUUCGUAGAUAUUGGGAAGAACACCGGUGGCGAAGGCGGCUCUCUGGACCGAUACUGACGCUGAGGCGCGAAAGCGUGGGGAGCAAACAGG